UUCCUUUUUUUUUUCAAUGCUUUUAAAUCCCCUUCCCUCUGUGGGACAGAGGUACCAGGGUGGCUGAGGGCAAGCAGGGUUCAGAGCCCCCUGGCACGAACUGUUCUGACACCAGGCUUCAAGUUGGGGCUGGCGUUUGAGAGUCCUUGGGCAGGGGGAGUGAUCUGGCCCUACGCCCAGUCCUCUUCCCAGAAGACUCACGGAGGACUUGGUCCCAUCCUAAGGGCAUUGCGUGCCAAGGACCCAGGCCCUGAGAAAUGGGCCGUGAUCCCAACUGUCGGGCAUGAGAAGAGACUUAAGUGGCCACAUCACAGAGACAGUCUCAACUUUGUCAUCUGAAUGUUUUCUUUCCAAGUUGAUGUUUUUCUUGGAGGUUGGCCUUGAAUUUAUUAUAUUCCAGGUAGAUUUUUUUCCUCAUUCCUGGUGGCCUCGUCACUGCGGCUGCUUCCUUGAUCAAUUCCAGUUGAAUGGCCUGUCAGGGAAAUGCUCACCUCAGCCUGUCUCUGCCCUACCCUAGAAUCUCUCCUGUAUGUACAGACAUUCUCUUCAAACUCUUGUGUGGCUUUCCUCUCAUGUGGCUUUCUAUUGCUGUGGAAAAAAAAAAAAA
RNAcentral lists this long non-coding RNA (607 nucleotides) under Rattus norvegicus (Norway rat). RNAcentral's name for it is "long non-coding RNA NONRATT021783". The record is from RNAcentral. Lineage: Eukaryota; Metazoa; Chordata; Mammalia; Rodentia; Muridae.